AGGACGAACGCUGGCGGCGUGCCUAACACAUGCAAGUCGAACGCGCUCCAUUCGGUAGCAAUACUGAUGAAGAGCGAGUGGCGAACGGGUGAGUAGCACGUGAGCAACCUGCCCCGAAGACCGGGACAACACCGGGAAACCGGUGCUAAUACCGGAUAUCCCUAUCGGACCGCAUGAUCUGAUAAGGAAAUGGAUUCCGCUUCGGGAGGGGCUCGCGGCCUAUCAGCUAGUUGGUGAGGUAACGGCCCACCAAGGCAUCGACGGGUAGCUGGUCUGAGAGGACGAUCAGCCACACUGGGACUGAGACACGGCCCAGACUCCUACGGGAGCAGCAGUGGGGAAUCUUGCGCAAUGGGCGAAAGCCUGACGCAGCAACGCCGCGUGGAGGACGAAGGCUUUCUGAGUUGUAAACUCCUUUCAGCAGGGACGAUAGUGACGGUACCUGCAGAAGAAGCACCGGCAACUACGUGCCAGCCAGCCG
RNAcentral lists this ribosomal RNA (481 nucleotides) under uncultured bacterium. RNAcentral describes it as "SSU rRNA". It matches the Rfam family "Bacterial small subunit ribosomal RNA", at positions 26 to 517 of the family's 1533-position model. The record is from RNAcentral.